Molecule: long non-coding RNA, 1119 nt
Filed under: Homo sapiens (human)
Lineage: Eukaryota; Metazoa; Chordata; Mammalia; Primates; Hominidae
Description: non-protein coding lnc-EBLN1-1:2
Source: RNAcentral
AACUUUCAGGGCGCCAAGUACGGGUAGCGCUUCUGAUGGAUUCCCGGGUCUGGGAGGAUCCGAUUAUCCCGGGGCCGGGUGACACGCACAAAGCUGAGGUUAGAGUUGGCCAGGAAGGGAGGACCUGGUGAGCCGGUGGAACAAAAGCGGGAAGGCCUUUCCUUCUAGGAGCAAAACCAGCGACGCGUCCCGGACGCCCGGGGACCCCUGUGGGUCUCGGUUUCCUUCGCUGUGACCCUGACAUGUUUCCCUCCACCGGCCCGAGGAAACCGUCGCUUCCAGCCUCCAGGUACCGUCACCUCUGCGGGGCUGCGAGCGGAGGACCGGGACAGAGAAGGAGCCGGCGGUCCUGGCCAGCCGCGCGGCUCAAAACCCGACGGCGCGGGGACUCCGGGCCUGGGGCCUCCAUGGCUGUGGCCUCCUUAUCUCCCGGGCCGGCUGCUCCCUACGCUGCGGGGCUGAGGGCACUGGGGACCCAGGGGCUUCUCUGGCACUAGCGAGGACCUAACCUUGAGUGAAGAACGAUGUCAAGUGAAAGUGAAGAAUAACGGGGGUGGGCGCGAAGAGAAUGGUCUUGGGGCGCGCUUGCGCCUCUACCCGAGGACCGAGGUGGGGAUUCGACAGACGCCAGCGGUGGGGAUCCGGGGCGAGAAGCCCCGACUUUCUGAGUCGUGAGCCGCCUCCAGUCGCCCCAGGACGUAACCCCGAGGAGCUUUCAGACACUGGCCGCGCCUAAUAUCGCUGAGAACCGCGAAAACCGGAGUUCCGGCCGCCUCCCGGACUGGCGUCCCGAGGCCAGGGGACCCGCUUGGGGCUCCCGGCCGAGCCCCGACCUCGGACGUUUUUCCGGGAGCCGCGAGAGGCCUGGGGGCCUGGGCCAGGCGCCGCGGCGGGCAUCGAUCGCCGGCUCCCAGAGAGUGGCCCCGCGCAGGUGGAGGUGACCCCGUCACCUCCAGGAGCGCCCCCAAGCCCCGGUACCCGCAGCGUGCGCCCUCUCCUCCUCCCCGAAGGUUAAGUUCGUCUUUUUCGGUUCUCGGUUACGCAUCCCCUUGGCACGCAUGCCCAGCCACACCGUGGGCGAAACUAGAGGGCCCGCGUCCCCUGGGGGCUGCCGCGGGG